This 66-nucleotide small RNA is filed under the name Lysinibacillus sp. AC-3. Its description in RNAcentral is "Bacillaceae-1 RNA". It matches the Rfam family "Bacillaceae-1 RNA". The record is from RNAcentral. Lineage: Bacteria; Bacillati; Bacillota; Bacilli; Caryophanales; Bacillaceae.
UAUAGAGGAACUCAGUCUAAGGACGCCACGUCCUGUGGCGACGAUCGAGUGACCAACAUAUGUUAG